Molecule: non-coding RNA, 189 nt
Organism: Vicia faba (fava bean)
Lineage: Eukaryota; Viridiplantae; Streptophyta; Magnoliopsida; Fabales; Fabaceae
Source: the annotation of a GenBank genome assembly
AUGGUUGUUGUUGUUUGUUUUUUGAAUUAUAUGCUUGUUAUUGCUUCAAUCAAUUUUGUUAUUGUUGUUCAUGAGAACCGAAAUCAGAUUGUGUUGUUAUUAUUAUCGCUUAAAUUGAAAAAUAGAGUGAAGGAUUUAUUGUUAUUGCGAAAUAGAAAGACGGAGCGUGAGAAUUAUGGAAACAAUUGA